GAUGAACGCUGGCGGCGUGCCUAAUACAUGCAAGUCGAGCGGACGGACGAUAAUCUUGCUUCUCUGGUGUUAGCGGCGGACGGGUGAGUAACACGUGGAUAACCUACCUAUAAGAGUGAGAUAACUUCGGGAAACCGUAGCUAAUGCCGGAUAAUAUUUUGAACCGCAUGGUUGAAAAGUUAAAGCCGUUCUUGCUGUCACUUCUAGCUGGAAUCUCGCUGGAUUGGCUAGUUGGUAACGUAACGGCUUCCUAUAGCAACGAUGCAUAGCCGGCCUGAGAGGGGGUAGGGGGACACUGGGAGUGAGCGGCGAUCCUGGGUCCUAGAGGAGGCAGCGGUAGCGAAUCGUGCGAAAUGGGGGGAAGCUUGACGGAGCAGCGCAGCGCGGGUGAUGAAGGUCUUCGGAGCGGAAGACUGUGUUAGGAGUGUAGAAUCUAUGCGUAAGGGACUGAGCACAUCGUGACGGUACCUAAACAGAAAGCCACGGCUAACUACGUG
This 497-nucleotide ribosomal RNA is filed under the name uncultured bacterium. Its description in RNAcentral is "partial 16S ribosomal RNA". It matches the Rfam family "Bacterial small subunit ribosomal RNA", at positions 28 to 507 of the family's 1533-position model. The record is from RNAcentral.